AAGGUGGCAUAUGCCACUGCCAUGGACUGGUUCAUUGCGGUGUGCUACGCCUUU
Non-coding RNA from Oryzias latipes (Japanese medaka), 54 nucleotides. The record is from Rfam. Lineage: Eukaryota; Metazoa; Chordata; Actinopteri; Beloniformes; Adrianichthyidae.